Long non-coding RNA from Scleropages formosus (Asian bonytongue), 711 nucleotides. RefSeq lists it as uncharacterized. NCBI's taxonomy places the organism in Eukaryota, Metazoa, Chordata, Actinopteri, Osteoglossiformes, Osteoglossidae. The record is from RefSeq and is a predicted model, not a curated record. The transcript has 3 exons.
CACCCGUAAAGUCAGUUGGGGCAUGACCAUUUGAAUGUGCUAUUGGAUUGACAGUUGCUGCAAGAGUGUAAAAUGAGUACACCCAAACCCCAGGGCCAGCAGUGAACCAUUGUGAACGUAUUGAUGAGGAAUAGCUCAGGCUUCAGUAAACUACUCAGGCCUUAAGAAAAUGGACAUCAAGAAAGCUCCACCCUUGGUUGCGGAGAACAUCUCACUCUUGGCACUUGAGAACCAGAACGCUGAUAACUUCUCCCUCGGCACUGUACUACACUCCUCCCCCAGAGCCGAGCAAAACUUUGCCACCAGCAAUGCUCCACACUCCUUAUGUCACCGCUUCCUGCUCUUCAUCAGCGUCCUUGUCCCACGCUAUAUUGCCUGUGUAGCUGGUGACGUUGCCAGCAGCCUAGAGAAAAACUGUGCCUGCCCUGCUGCUCAUAACUUCAUCACAUACUUCGCCCGUUACUUUGCUGACUUUGCCUCUCGCAACUUUGCUGACCUCGUCACUCGUAACCCCAGCGCAGACCAUUAAAAAUUUUUUGCCCUCUGUGAGUCCCCCAUCCAAGACGUUGCUGAACACCCUCCCCCUGACAGCACUCAGGUAAAAGACAUUAAAGUAUUGCUGUCUUACACACAAGGUCUUAUAAAGAGAGAAAAACUUCUGUGACAUUAUGGUAUUCAAAAUAAGUCAAGCCCUGUUGUAGGUGUGGUAUG